RNAcentral lists this ribosomal RNA (235 nucleotides) under uncultured bacterium. RNAcentral's name for it is "partial 16S ribosomal RNA". It matches the Rfam family "Bacterial small subunit ribosomal RNA", at positions 104 to 334 of the family's 1533-position model. The record is from RNAcentral.
GGGUGAGUAACACGUGGGUUACCUGCCCCGAUGAUUGGGACAACCCGAGGAAACUCGGGCUAAUACCAAAUGUGCUCCUGGCCGUAAUGGCCUUGAGGAAAGGAAGCUUCGGCCUCCGCAUCGGGAUGGGCCCGCGGCCCAUUAGCUUGUUGGUGGGGUAAUGGCCUACCAAGGCGACGAUGGGUAGCUGGUCUGAGAGGACGAUCAGCCACACUGGGACUGAGACACGGUCCAG